UCGUGGUCUGCAGCACGCGC
Molecule: small nuclear RNA, 20 nt
Filed under: Arabidopsis thaliana (thale cress)
Lineage: Eukaryota; Viridiplantae; Streptophyta; Magnoliopsida; Brassicales; Brassicaceae
Description: snRNA_05358
Source: RNAcentral